Molecule: ribosomal RNA, 641 nt
Filed under: Salmonella enterica subsp. enterica
Lineage: Bacteria; Pseudomonadati; Pseudomonadota; Gammaproteobacteria; Enterobacterales; Enterobacteriaceae
Description: bacterial SSU rRNA
Rfam family: Bacterial small subunit ribosomal RNA
Source: RNAcentral
GAUUAAAACUCAAAGGAAUAGACGGGGACCCGCACAAGCGGUGGAGCAUGUGGUUUAAUUCGAAGAUACGCGAAGAACCUUACCUGGGCUUGAUAUCCUAAGAACCUUUUAGAGAUAAGAGGGUGCUAGCUUGCUAGAACUUAGAGACAGGUGCUGCACGGCUGUCGUCAGCUCGUGUCGUGAGAUGUUGGGUUAAGUCCCGCAACGAGCGCAACCCACGUAUUUAGUUGCUAACGGUUCGGCCGAGCACUCUAAAUAGACUGCCUUCGUAAGGAGGAGGAAGGUGUGGACGACGUCAAGUCAUCAUGGCCCUUAUGCCCAGGGCGACACACGUGCUACAAUGGCAUAUACAAUGAGACGCAAUACCGCGAGGUGGAGCAAAUCUAUAAAAUAUGUCCCAGUUCGGAUUGUUCUCUGCAACUCGAGAGCAUGAAGCCGGAAUCGCUAGUAAUCGUAGAUCAGCCAUGCUACGGUGAAUACGUUCCCGGGUCUUGUACUCACCGCCCGUCACACCAUGGGAGUUGAUUUCACUCGAAGCCGGAAUACUAAACUAGUUACCGUCCACAGUGGAAUCAGCGACUGGGGUGAAGUCGUAACAAGGUAACCGUAGGAGAACCUGCGGUUGGAUCACCUCCUUUCUA